GACAGAGGAGGCAAGCGUUGUUCGGAAUCACUGGGCUUAAAGCGCGUGUAGGCGGCGGCGCAAGUGUCGUGUGAAAUCCCACGGCUCAACCGUGGAACUGCACGGCAAACUACGUCGCUUGAGGUUGGUAGAGGUGCCUGGAACUCUCGGUGGAGCGGUGAAAUGCGUUGAUAUCGAGAGGAACGCCGGAAGCGAAAGCGAGGCACUGGGCCGAUUCUGACGCUGAGACGCGAAAGCGUGGGGAGCAAACAGG
This 253-nucleotide ribosomal RNA is filed under the name uncultured prokaryote. RNAcentral's name for it is "partial 16S ribosomal RNA". It matches the Rfam family "Bacterial small subunit ribosomal RNA", at positions 524 to 776 of the family's 1533-position model. The record is from RNAcentral.